UCAGAUAUAGUGUAGCGGGAACACGACCUCUUGUAUUGUCUCAAAUAUGUAUUUCAGAGGCAGUCCAGGGUUCGAAUUCCUAUGUCUGAU
This is a non-coding RNA of Mycena vulgaris, 90 nucleotides long. The record is from the annotation of a GenBank genome assembly. Lineage: Eukaryota; Fungi; Basidiomycota; Agaricomycetes; Agaricales; Mycenaceae.